RNAcentral lists this ribosomal RNA (253 nucleotides) under uncultured bacterium. RNAcentral describes it as "partial 16S ribosomal RNA". It matches the Rfam family "Bacterial small subunit ribosomal RNA", at positions 524 to 776 of the family's 1533-position model. The record is from RNAcentral.
UACGUAGGUGGCAAGCGUUGUCCGGAUUUACUGGGCGUAAAGAGCGCGCAGGCGGUCGUGCAAGUCGCGUGUGAAAGCCCCCGGCUCAACUGGGGAGGGUCACGCGAUACUGCUCGACUCGAAGGCAGGAGAGGGAAGUGGAAUUCCCGGUGUAGUGGUGAAAUGCGUAGAUAUCUGGAGGAACACCGGUGGCGAAGGCGGCAUCCUGGACCAAUAUUGACGCUGAGGAGCGAAAGCUAGGGGAGCAAACGGG